GUACACUCCUGCGGGAGGCAGCAGUGGGGAAUUUUGGACAAUGGGCGAAAGCCUGAUCCAGCAAUGCCGCGUGAGUGAAGAAGGCCUUCGGGUUGUAAAGCUCUUUUGUCAGGGAAGAAACGGUGAAAGCUAAUAUCUUUUGCUAAUGACGGUACCUGAAGAAUAAGCACCGGCUAACUACGUGCCAGCAGCCGCGGUAAUACGUAGGGUGCAAGCGUUAAUCGGAAUUACUGGGCGUAAAGCGUGCGCAGGCGGUUUUGUAAGUCUGAUGUGAAAUCCCCGGGCUCAACCUGGGAAUUGCAUUGGAGACUGCAAGGCUAGAAUCUGGCAGAGGGGGGUAGAAUUCCACGUGUAGCAGUGAAAUGCGUAGAUAUGUGGAGGAACACCGAUGGCGAAGGCAGCCCCCUGGGUCAAGAUUGACGCUCAUGCACGAAAGCGUGGGGAGCAAACAGGAUUAGAAACCCCGGUAGUCCCAUGAU
This 479-nucleotide ribosomal RNA is filed under the name uncultured organism. Its description in RNAcentral is "partial 16S ribosomal RNA". It matches the Rfam family "Bacterial small subunit ribosomal RNA", at positions 331 to 801 of the family's 1533-position model. The record is from RNAcentral.